This 1420-nucleotide long non-coding RNA is filed under the name Equus caballus (horse). Its description in RNAcentral is "lncRNA (ENSECAG00000055563.1)". Lineage: Eukaryota; Metazoa; Chordata; Mammalia; Perissodactyla; Equidae. The record is from RNAcentral.
GAGCUUCUGGGCUGCUGAACACGUGGAGGUGCUGGGAGAGUGGUACACCCCUUCUCACAUACCUUUCUCUAUACAUCUCUUCCAUCUGGAUGUUCAUCUAUGGAGUGUAAACAUUAUAUUUGCAUCGAAAGCAAGUAAGCACAGCCAGAUUGAUGCUUCGAGUGCAACUGUGGACUGGCAGGAUCAGCCCUGCCUGGGACCAGGAGGCAAGCAGGCAGAGAAAAGCUCACAGACCCAUAGAGGACCAGAGCUUGCCAGCAGUCACCCAGGAUCCUGGUAACCUGACGGUGUGCUCUUGGUCCUCCUGGUUCUGCUAUGUGGGAUGCCGCCUGAGAAUGGCCUGAUGAGUGGUGCCAUGUCUGUGCCCAGGAUCUGAACCGGCGAAACCCUGGGCCGCAGAAGCGGAAGCAGAGCGUGUGAACCCAACUACUCGGCCUCUGGCCUGCUCCACAUCCGGGGAUUUUAAAGGGCUGACUGCUGAAGGGAGAGUAUAAAGCAAGGAUGUCAGCUUUCCUUCCAUUUCAAACCCAGCCCCAAAGCUAUUUAAGCCAGUGCACAUAGCGUUACUCAACAGCUCUUUGAUGAUUGAAUGAAUAAAUUUGCGGUAACAAAAGGAAGAUUGAGAUUUCAGAACACUGUGGGGUAUGUUGAACAUUGAUUCUCUGAUCUCAGAGAAAAGAAAACAGAAAGGCAAUUUUCCUCUAAUUUCAAUCAGAAUAUUUUGCAGAUGAAAGGGAUCUUAGUGAUCAUUCGGUUUCCUUGUUACUUUACAAAUAGGAAUUUAAUGACUUGCAUUUCUUCCUGUCUGAACCUUGGUUCAAUAAUGUAUACUCAAAUAUUUUCGUUUCAUUAUUUCAUUUUGGAAUUGAAUAGAAUACCUUGGAAAGAUACCUAAACUGCUCUUUCCUCAUAUUUCCCAUUCCUUGCUCAUGUUUCCUGAAUGUUUGCCUGUGGAGUGGCUCAUUAAGCUGUGAAACAGGUAGUAGAUUUGGGGCCUUUGUGCUUGAAUCCCGAGGCUUGCCAUUGGCUCAGGACUUCUCAAGUGGGCCCCUUGACAGUUAGGAAAACUGCCUGAAGUUUAGAUUUUCAAAUACUGACUAUUUUGCCAGGGCUGUUUUGAUAAAUGCAAAUUAAAAAACAACGCACAGCUGCCCCCCAUUUCUUUUUUAAAAGCUAUUACAUGCUGCUAACUAUUAAGUAAUUUAGAUAAUCUAGGAUGUUAAUAAUCAAGGCCUGUGCUCCAAAACAACACACAGCAAAUAGAUGCAGGAUUGUGGUCCAGCUCCAGCUCUUAGAAAAGUGAAGUGAGAGGCACCAAACUGGCCAUGAGGCUUUGGGUACAUCGCUCAAACUGUUGCAGCCUCACACAGCUUGAACUGUGUUCAGCACAUAGUAGCGUCUUAAUAAAUACUUGUUGAAG